This 273-nucleotide ribosomal RNA is filed under the name uncultured bacterium. RNAcentral describes it as "partial 16S ribosomal RNA". It matches the Rfam family "Bacterial small subunit ribosomal RNA", at positions 524 to 796 of the family's 1533-position model. The record is from RNAcentral.
UACGAAGUGUUCAAGCGUUAAUCGGAAUUACUGGGCGUAAAGCGCGCGUAGGUGGUUUGUUAAGUUGGAUGUGAAAGCCCCGGGCUCAACCUGGGAACUGCAUCCAAAACUGGCAAGCUAGAGUAUGGCAGAGGGUGGUGGAAUUUCCUGUGUAGCGGUGAAAGGCGUAGAUAUAGGAAGGAACACCAGUGGCGAAGGCGACCACCUGGGCUAAUACUGACACGGAGGUGCGAAAUCGUUGUGAGCCAACAGGAGUAGAUACCCCCGUAGUCC